Mandrillus leucophaeus (drill) is the source of this 742-nucleotide long non-coding RNA. RefSeq lists it as uncharacterized. Lineage: Eukaryota; Metazoa; Chordata; Mammalia; Primates; Cercopithecidae. The transcript is spliced from 2 exons. The record is from RefSeq and is a predicted model, not a curated record.
CUCGGUGGAGCAGACCCCGCGCAAGAGGCUGCGGUGAGCGAAUUUAGAGCCCAAAGAGCCCCGAGGGAACCUGCCGGGGCAGCGGACGUUGGAAGGGCGCUGGGCCUCGGCUGGGACCGUUCAUGUAGCAGCAACCGGCGGCGGCUGCCGCAGAGCAGCGUUCGGUUUUGUGUUUAAAUUUUGAAAACUGUGCAAUGUAUUAAUAACGUCUUUUUAUAUCUAAAUGUAUUCUGCACGAGAAGGUACACUGGUCCCAAGGUGUAAAGCUUUAAGAGUCAUUUAUAUAAAAUGUUUAAUCUCUGCUGAAACUCAGUGCAAAAAAAAAGAAAAAAGAAAAAAAAAAAGGAAAAAAUAAAAAAACCAUGUAUAUUUGUACAAAAAGUUUUUAAAGUUAUACUAACUUAUAUUUUCUAUUUAUGUCCAGGCGUGGACCGCUCUGCCACGCACUAGCUUGGUUAUUGGUUAUGCCAAAGGCACCAUCCAUCUCCCACAUCCGGUUAUUGACAAGUGUAACUUUAUUUUCAUCGCGGACUCUGGGGAAAGGGGUCACUCACAAGCUGUAGCUGCCAUACAUGCCCAUCUAGCUUGCAGUCUCUUCGCGCUUUCGCUCGCUCUCUUAUUAUUACUGUGUUUAUCUUAAACUUGAAGACAAAUCUGUUAAAAUGGUUCCUGAGCCGUCUGUACCACUGCCCCGGCCCCUCGUCCGCCGGGUUCUAAAUAAAGAGGCCGAAAAAUGCUGCAA